This 253-nucleotide ribosomal RNA is filed under the name uncultured bacterium. RNAcentral describes it as "partial 16S ribosomal RNA". It matches the Rfam family "Bacterial small subunit ribosomal RNA", at positions 524 to 776 of the family's 1533-position model. The record is from RNAcentral.
UACGUAGGGGGCAAGCGUUGUCCGGAAUCAUUGGGCGUAAAGCGCGCGUAGGCGGCCCGGUAAGUCCGUUGUGAAAGUCAAAGGCUCAACCUUUGAACGCCGAUGGAUACUGCCGGGCUAGAGUCCGGAAGAGGCGAGUGGAAUUCCUGGUGUAGCGGUGAAAUGCGCAGAUAUCAGGAGGAACACCGGUGGCGAAGGCGGUGAUCUGGGCCGGCACUGACGCUGAGGAGCGAAAGCGUGGGUAGCAAACAGG